GUUCCCCUGCUAUGCUCGUGAUUGGCGGGAUGUUUUUGAUCCAACAGCAUUAUGAAAGGGGGUUCUCUCUUGCCUUUGUGUGUCUUUUUGGUGAGUGAGCAAAAGAGACCUAAUGGGGUAACGGAACACCCACCUAUGUAAGAUUAGGUUCAAAAAGGGCUGCCGACACGGCAUUAGAGCGGGGGAGCA
RNAcentral lists this non-coding RNA (189 nucleotides) under Pseudomonadota bacterium. RNAcentral describes it as "Proteobacteria bacterium (cold seep metagenome) 6S RNA". It matches the Rfam family "6S / SsrS RNA". From Rfam's summary of the family: E. coli 6S RNA was the first non coding RNA to be sequenced, but its function was unknown until recently. It consists of 184 nucleotides that fold into an extended hairpin structure with a large single-stranded internal bulge. The record is from RNAcentral. Lineage: Bacteria; Pseudomonadati; Pseudomonadota.